Molecule: non-coding RNA, 1352 nt
Organism: Salvelinus sp. IW2-2015
Lineage: Eukaryota; Metazoa; Chordata; Actinopteri; Salmoniformes; Salmonidae
Source: RefSeq, a predicted model, not a curated record
CAGCGUCGUCCGCGUUUGGCUGGGGUAGGCCGUCAUUGUAAAUAAGAAUUUGUUCUUGACUGACUUGCCUAGUUAAAUAAAAUGUGCACAGGGAAUGAUGCUCACACAACCUCUGAAUCCUAUAUGUACUGUUUGUACAUAAAUAUUACAUUCUAACAUGUUAACAAACUUGGUGGUAGAAGUUAAAUGUGUUGAAGAACUGAUUCUGCUACCUGCUUUCUACCCAGUUGAGAUUGUUUGUGUUGUAUUUAAGCAAAAGGGGUGUGGAGGACAUACUCCGGUCCAGUGGUUUUGUCCUCCGACAGGUGGCAUCGCUCCUACACAACGCUCGUCCCUCAACCGACAGAGCAGACAGUUGGUCGUAAGACAACGGCCCAGUGGCUUUGUUUAAACCAGUAAUGUCUACAUCUGGAUUUCAAAGUGUUAUCGCUUCACCUAGCAGUUAUCAUGUGAUUUAAAAACCCCCCAAUCAAUCUCUUUAUCAUGACUUCCAUUUGGACACGUUGGCCUCGGUCUGUGCCUACGAGGUCUUCAUGUAAACCCAGCCAAGUUAGAGUCCCAAUUGCACAAAUUGUUCCUCAGUUGCCCCUGAAAUAGCUGUGCGAGGACUUUUAUGUUAGUAAGUCUAAAUGUUGAGGUGGAGAAGAAGGAAUAAAAAGUAUGUGAUUAUGUAUGCAAGUUUAUCACAUUUAUGUUUUUUUUAUAUUGUUUUAUGAUAGUGUAUUUUAAAAAAAGAAGAAGAAAAAAAAAACAUUCUCACAAUGUGUGUUUGGAAUGGGGAUAUGGAACUGAAAGGUUAGAGGUGAGAAUGUCAUGUGGUGGAUUCAUUCUAAAUGGCACCCUAUUCCCUAUGUAGUAUACCAGGCCUCGGGUCAAAAGUAAUGCACGCUAUAGGGAAUAGGGUGCAACUUGGGAAGAAGUUGAUGUUUGAACUGGGUGGGAUGAUGAGGUAGUCAAGCACUUGUGUCUGCAGUUAGGCUAUGAGCGUGUUUGACAAUGCAGCCAUUUUUUUUUUUUUUUUAAGGUGUGACUGACUAAUCUACAAAUCACCUUGAAUCAUAAUUAACUAGUCAAAUGUUAGUUGCAGGUCCGGUCACAAUUUCCCCACGAUGCAUCACGGUUUUGAUGCGCUCGACAGGCCUAAGCCUUCUGCAUGCCAAUGCUGGUCAAAUAUGUCCUGGUCUGUGCUUCUGCCUCUGCUGCCCUCAAUUGUUGUCGACUGGGAGAUAUAGAUGAUGACAUCAGUCUGUGUGGCUUAAUCUGUGUAGGCUACAUUCAAUCUUGAAUGAUAUGUACAGUAUAUCAUKGUUCAUAUACACACUGCACUAACAAAAUAAACGAAUCUUACAAUA